Long non-coding RNA from Bos taurus (domestic cattle), 1609 nucleotides. NCBI's taxonomy places the organism in Eukaryota, Metazoa, Chordata, Mammalia, Artiodactyla, Bovidae. The record is from Ensembl.
ACAUGACAGGUUUAUCAGUGAAUGAAAAUCACAAAUUCAAUAAACUACACUUGAUAUUUUUGCCUAAACUUGGGCCAAUGUGAGUACAAAAGCUUACAAUAAUCUGACUUUUGAAAUUCUUAAUAGAAUAUUUGCAAAGGUAAUCAAAGAAUAAGUAAUAGAUUUUUCAUACAUUUUUAAAAGAGCAAACAAAACUUGGACUCCUUAACUGGAGGGGAAAAAAUGCUAACACAUUUCACAUAAUCAUCCAGUCUAGGGUGAGUGUCUGAAAUCUGCCAUUUUCUUUAAUCUGUGUGUGAUAAAAUUCUAACCCAGUCUCUUCUGUUUCUGAGGGAAUGCAGGCUUUCUUAGCUCUACCCAAAGACACAGUCUCUCCUGUGGCCCGUUUGGCCAUUUGGAGGGAGAGUGCAUUCUGAAGAUUCCAACUGAUAUCAGGAUAGAAAAAUCAGACUGGGGACCGUUUUCCCUUUGGUUAAGGAUUUUAUGUUAGACCCUCUUAAAUAUAAAUCUCAAAUGAGGUAAAGGGUGUGAAAGGUAAAUAAACUAAACAUACAACAGCUUGUAGUGAGGUAUACCAACGAGGUAUAUGAAUAUGUCUUUAGAAUAUGAUUAAGUAUGUAGAAAGGUGAUUAGGUGAAAAUGUAUCCAUAUUCAAGACUGUUUUAUCAACUGAAGAUUGGUAUUCCUGCGUUCUUCCCUGGAAGUUCAGAUUUGCAUGUGUACAUGGUUUUGAUGCUAAUAGAGAGCAAAGCUAAAUUCCUCUACAGUUAAUGGUUCACAUUGUAGACCUCCCUGCCCCCUUUAACAUCCAAGGACUUUACUAACUGAAUCCAAAGUCUGGUUAUUUGAGAAGACCAAGAAAAUAAAAAUGAGACAGAACAAAAAUACAUGAGACAAAAGAGCUGACCAUUGUCACUUGAUGGAAGAGGUUACUAAUAAAGGAAUGCAGCUCUACUACAACAGAGUUACAAAGCUCAGGUGUUACAGAUGAUUUACUAGCAAAAUACACCAAAAUUUAUCCAAGAAGUGGAAACCUUGAAUGUACCAAUUAGCAGAGAUCAAAUUAAGUAUAAAAAUUUAAUAUUAAAAGCCUGAUAUGAAAUAUAUAAAAAUAAGACAUCAGUCUCAUUUACUGAAUAAGUGCAAUUUUAUGGUAUUUUUUUCACCAGUAACGGAAAUCUGGGCUCUCUGUUCCUCCCCUUAGACAGUCACACCAUCCUUGAGACAUGAUGAUCAAGUGUGGAGUAAAUGGAUUUGGCUGUACUAAACACCUGGUCGUCAGGGCUGUUUAUAACUCUCACAGGAUAUUUUGGAUAUUGUUAUUGACCCCUUCAUUGAUAUCAGCUACUUAGUCAACAUAUGUGUAUGUAUGCUCAGUUGCUAAGUUGUGUCCAAUUCUUUGCAACCCCAUGGACUAUAGCCUGCCAGGCUCCUCUGUCCAUGGGAUUUUCCAGGCAAGAAUACUGGAACCCCAGGUUGCCAUUUCCUACUCUGGGGGAUCUUCCUGACCCAGGGGUCUAAGCUGUGUCUCCUAUGUCUCCUGCAUUGGCUGGCAGAUUCUUUACCUGGGCAGCCCACUUAGUCUACAUAUUCUAGUCAACAUAUUCCA